UUGACCAUUGGCAGGACGUCCGAAAUCGGGCAGACAACCAGUCAGUAAAAAUUAAGAAGAAAAAAUGGGUAACACUCUGUACCACGGAGUGGCCAAUAUUGGCCCACCCUCGGAGUUGAAUGGCCCCCAGGAGAGUCCCUCCAUCUCUCUCUCUAAUCUGCAAAGUCAGAGAUUGUCUUUCAGCCAGGGCCGCAUGGCCAUCCAGAUCAUGGCUUUUAACCUUUCAGGACCUCUGCGAAUCUCCUCCUGCAUGGGUGGGGUCCGCGCAGUCCUCCGGGAGGAUUCCACCCGGUGGUAUGGCGGAUCUGUC
Molecule: long non-coding RNA, 310 nt
Filed under: Marmota monax (woodchuck)
Lineage: Eukaryota; Metazoa; Chordata; Mammalia; Rodentia; Sciuridae
Source: RNAcentral